AAAACAGCCCUUUUCAGGGCUACAAUAUUGUUUUUACGAAAGAGUU
This is a non-coding RNA of Aedes aegypti (yellow fever mosquito), 46 nucleotides long. The record is from Rfam. Lineage: Eukaryota; Metazoa; Arthropoda; Insecta; Diptera; Culicidae.